GCCAGUAGCUCAGUCGGUAGAGCAGCGCCCUUUUAAGGCGUUGGUUGCGAGUUCGAGUCUCGCCCG
RNAcentral lists this transfer RNA (66 nucleotides) under Fibrobacterota bacterium. Its description in RNAcentral is "Fibrobacteres bacterium (aquatic metagenome) tRNA-Lys". It matches the Rfam family "tRNA", at positions 7 to 64 of the family's 71-position model. From Rfam's summary of the family: Transfer RNA (tRNA) molecules are approximately 80 nucleotides in length. Their secondary structure includes four short double-helical elements and three loops (D, anti-codon, and T loops). Lineage: Bacteria; Pseudomonadati; Fibrobacterota. The record is from RNAcentral.